This 359-nucleotide long non-coding RNA is filed under the name Bos taurus (domestic cattle). RNAcentral's name for it is "long non-coding RNA NONBTAT016654". Lineage: Eukaryota; Metazoa; Chordata; Mammalia; Artiodactyla; Bovidae. The record is from RNAcentral.
GCUAACUUUCACCAACCAAAAAGGGUAUUAGGGGAUUUAGUGUAUCCUUCCAUCCUGAAAACUUCCUAAGAUGUACAUUUGAAAAGUAGAUAAAUGUUGCUUAAUAAUAGGUUGUAUGUACUUUACUAAGAAACACUGUGUACUAACGAUUCAUCAAGAGUAUACUAUAUUUACUGCAUUCAUUUUAUAUAUGUGGAUAAGAAUACAUUAUAUAGAGUGAUCCUAUCUUAAUAUACUCAUGUAUUUAUAUUGUAAUUUUGCAAAUAUUUUCAGUAAAAUAAACAUUUAUCUGAGCUGCACAAUCUGAAGAGGAUGAAAUUGAAAUAUACCCUCAGACAUUCAGUUUUAAUAAGCAGCUG